RNAcentral lists this ribosomal RNA (462 nucleotides) under uncultured bacterium. RNAcentral describes it as "partial 16S ribosomal RNA". It matches the Rfam family "Bacterial small subunit ribosomal RNA", at positions 28 to 507 of the family's 1533-position model. The record is from RNAcentral.
GACGAACGCUGGCGGCGUGCUUAACACAUGCAAGUCGAACGGUGAACCUCUUCGGAGGGGAUCAGUGGCGAACGGGUGAGUAACACGUGGGCAACCUGCCCCCGGCUCUGGGAUAACUCCAAGAAAUUGGGGCUAAUACCGGAUGUUCACCGCUUCCCGCAUUGGGGGUGGUGGAAAGGGUAUCUGGCGGGGGUGGGCCCGCGGCCGCUCAGCUUGUUGGUGGGGUAGGGGCCUACCAAGGCGUCGACGGGUAGCCGGCCUGAGAGGGUGACCGGCCACACUGGGACUGAGACACGGCCCAGACUCCUACGGGAGGCAGCAGUGGGGAAUAUUGCGCAAUGGGCGGAAGCCUGACGCAGCGACGCCGCGUGGGGGAUGACGGCCUUCGGGUUGUAAACCUCUUUCAGCAGGGACGAAGCGCAAGUGACGGUACCUGCAGAAGAAGCACCGGCCAACUACGUG